This 234-nucleotide non-coding RNA is filed under the name Sporomusa malonica. RNAcentral's name for it is "raiA RNA". It matches the Rfam family "raiA RNA". Lineage: Bacteria; Bacillati; Bacillota; Negativicutes; Selenomonadales; Sporomusaceae. The record is from Rfam by way of RNAcentral.
UUUGCUUAGGUCUGUGGUUGAAAGUCGAUGCCAGUCGCAGGCGAAACGACCCACGUAAGGAGCCCAAAGCGGCUUUGAGCAUGGUGCGGCUUAGAGGUAAGACCUGCCGGUCCCAGGAACAGACGUGUAUAAAGUAAAAGUUUGACCGAGAGGAACUGUAGUGAGGGGUUAAAUCCUAUUAGCGAAAUUCCCAGCAGGCGGGUGUGGGGUCAAAGACCAGGUCGGCUAAGCAGU